This 68-nucleotide transfer RNA is filed under the name Bathygadus antrodes. RNAcentral's name for it is "tRNA-Phe". RNAcentral also lists the same sequence under 2 other names. Lineage: Eukaryota; Metazoa; Chordata; Actinopteri; Gadiformes; Macrouridae. The record is from RNAcentral.
GCUAUCGUAACUUAAAUAAAGUUUAAUAUUGAAGCUAUUAGGAUGGGCCUUAAAAAGCCCCGAAAGCA